Molecule: transfer RNA, 74 nt
Filed under: Bacteroidales bacterium
Lineage: Bacteria; Pseudomonadati; Bacteroidota; Bacteroidia; Bacteroidales
Also listed under: 1 other name
Description: tRNA-Pro
Rfam family: tRNA
About the family: Transfer RNA (tRNA) molecules are approximately 80 nucleotides in length.
Source: RNAcentral
CGGGGUGUGGCGCAGCCUGGUAGCGCACUCGUCUGGGGGGCGAGGGGUCGGAAGUUCAAAUCUUCUCACCCCGA